This 459-nucleotide ribosomal RNA is filed under the name uncultured bacterium. RNAcentral describes it as "partial 16S ribosomal RNA". It matches the Rfam family "Bacterial small subunit ribosomal RNA", at positions 338 to 795 of the family's 1533-position model. The record is from RNAcentral.
CCUACGGGAGGCAGCAGUGAGGAAUAUUGGUCAAUGGGCGGGAGCCUGAACCAGCCAAGCCGCGUGAGGGAAGAAGGUACAGCGUAUCGUAAACCUCUUUUGUCAGGGAACAAAGGCGGGGACUAGUCCCCGGAUGCGGGUACCUGAAGAAAAAGCAUCGGCUAACUCCGUGCCAGCAGCCGCGGUAAUACGGAGGAUGCGAGCGUUAUCCGGAUUUAUUGGGUUUAAAGGGUGCGCAGGCGGCCUGUUAAGUCAGCGGUAAAAGCCCGGGGAUCAACCCCGGCGAGCCGUGGAAACUGGCGGGCUGGAGUUGGAGAGAAGUAGGCGGAAUGCGCGGUGUAGCGGUGAAAUGCUUAGAUAUCGCGCAGAACCCCGAUUGCGAAGGCAGCUUACCGGCUCCACACUGACGCUGAGGCACGAAAGCGUGGGUAUCGAACAGGAUUAGAUACCCGAGUAGUC